Molecule: ribosomal RNA, 253 nt
Filed under: uncultured bacterium
Lineage: Bacteria
Description: partial 16S ribosomal RNA
Rfam family: Bacterial small subunit ribosomal RNA
Source: RNAcentral
UACGUAGGGCGCAAGCGUUGUCCGGAAUUAUUGGGCGUAAAGAGCUCGUAGGCGGUUUGUCGCGUCUGUCGUGAAAGCUUGGGGCUUAACCCCAAGUCUGCGGUGGAUACGGGCAGACUAGAGGCAGGUAGGGGAGAACGGAAUUCCCGGUGUAGCGGUGAAAUGCGCAGAUAUCGGGAGGAACACCGGUGGCGAAGGCGGUUCUCGGGGCCGUAACUGACGCUGAGGAGCGAAAGCGUGGGGAGCGAACAGG